UGCCAGCCGCCGCGGUAAUACGGAGGGUGCAAGCGUUGUUCGGAAUUAUUGGGCGUAAAGGGCGCGUAGGCGGGCCAUUAAGUCUGAUGUGAAAUCCCUCGGCUCAACCGAGGACGUGCAUUGGAAACUGAUGGUCUUGAGUCCUGGAGAGGAAGGCGGAAUUCCCAGUGUAGAGGUGAAAUUCGUAGAUAUUGGGAGGAACACCAGCGGCGAAGGCGGCCUUCUGGACAGUGACUGACGCUGAGGUGCGAAAGCGUGGGUAGCAAACAGGAUUAGAUA
This 279-nucleotide ribosomal RNA is filed under the name uncultured bacterium. RNAcentral describes it as "partial 16S ribosomal RNA". It matches the Rfam family "Bacterial small subunit ribosomal RNA", at positions 506 to 784 of the family's 1533-position model. The record is from RNAcentral.